Long non-coding RNA from Oncorhynchus keta (chum salmon), 2534 nucleotides. RefSeq lists it as uncharacterized. The transcript has 7 exons. The record is from RefSeq and is a predicted model, not a curated record. Lineage: Eukaryota; Metazoa; Chordata; Actinopteri; Salmoniformes; Salmonidae.
UUGGAGUGUGCCCCUGGCUAUAGGUAAAUGAUGUCUGAGUGUUGGAGUGUGACCCUGGCUAUAGGUAAAUUAUGUCUGAGUGUUGGAGUGUGACCCUGGCUAUAGGUAAAUGAUGUCUGAGUGUUGGAGUGUGACCCUGGCUAUAGGUAAAUGAUGUCUGAGUGUUGGAGUGGGACCCUGGCUAUAGGUAAAUGAUGUCUGAGUGUUGGAGUGUGACCCUGGCUAUAGGUAAAUGAUGUCUGAGUGUUGGAGUGGGACCCUGGCUAUAGGUAAAUGAUGUCUGAGUGUUGGAGUGGGACCCUGGCUAUAGGUAAAUGAUGUCUGAGUGUUGGAGUGUGACCCUGGCUAUAGGUAAAUGAUGUCUGAGUGUUGUAGUGGGACCCUGGCUAUAGGUAAAUGAUGUCUGAGUGUUGGAGUGUGACCCUGGCUAUAGGUAAAUGAUGUCUGAGUGUUGGAGUGGGACCCUGGCUAUAGGUAAAUGAUGUCUGAGUGUUGGAGUGGGACCCUGGCUAUAGGUAAAUGAUGUCUGAGUGUUGGAGUGUGACCCUGGCUAUAGGUAAAUGAUGUCUGAGUGUUGGAGUGUGACCCUGGCUAUAGGUAAAUGAUGUCUGAGUGUUGGAGUGUGACCCUGGCUAUAGGUAAAUGAUGUCUGAGUGUUGGAGUGUGACCCUGGCUAUAGGUAAAUGAUGUCUGAGUGUUGGAGUGUGACCCUGGCUAUAGGUAAAUGAUGUCUGAGUGUUGUAGUGGGACCCUGGCUAUAGGUAAAUGAUGUCUGAGUGUUGGAGUGUGACCCUGGCUAUAGGUAAAUGAUGUCUGAGUGUUGGAGUGUGACCCUGGCUAUAGGUAAAUGAUGUCUGAGUGUUGGAGUGUGACCCUGGCUAUAGGUAAAUGAUGUCUGAGUGUUGGAGUGUGACCCUGGCUAUAGGUAAAUGAUGUCUGAGUGUUGGAGUGUGACCCUGGCUAUAGGUAAAUGAUGUCUGAGUGUUGUAGUGGGACCCUGGCUAUAGGUAAAUGAUGUCUGAGUGUUGCAGUGGGACCCUGGCUAUAGGUAAAUGAUGUCUGAGUGUUGGAGUGUGACCCUGGCUAUAGGUAAAUGAUGUCUGAGUGUUGGAGUGGGACCCUGGCUAUAGGUAAAUGAUGUCUGAGUGUUGUAGUGGGACCCUGGCUAUAGGUAAAUGAUGUCUGAGUGUUGGAGUGGGACCCUGGCUAUAGGUAAAUGAUGUCUGAGUGUUGGAGUGUGACCCUGGCUAUAGGUAAAUGAUGUCUGAGUGUUGUAGUGUGACCCUGGCUAUAGGUAAAUGAUGUCUGAGUGUUGGAGUGUGACCCUGGCUAUAGGUAAAUGAUGUCUGAGUGUUGGAGUGGGACCCUGGCUAUAGGUAAAUGAUGUCUGAGUGUUGGAGUGUGACCCUGGCUAUAGGUAAAUGAUGUCUGAGUGUUGUAGUGUGACCCUGGCUAUAGGUAAAUGAUGUCUGAGUGUUGUAGUGUGACCCUGGCUAUAGGUAAAUGAUGUCUGAGUGUUGGAGUGUGACCCUGGCUAUAGGUAAAUGAUGUCUGAGUGUUGGAGUGGGACCCUGGCUAUAGGUAAAUGAUGUCUGAGUGUUGUAGUGGGACCCUGGCUAUAGGUAAAUGAUGUCUGAGUGUUGGAGUGGGACCCUGGCUAUAGGUAAAUGAUGUCUGAGUGUUGGAGUGUGACCCUGGCUAUAGGUAAAUGAUGUCUGAGUGUUGGAGUGGGACCCUGGCUAUAGGUAAAUGAUGUCUGAGUGUUGUAGUGGGACCCUGGCUAUAGGUAAAUGAUGUCUGAGUGUUGGAGUGGGACCCUGGCUAUAGGUAAAUGAUGUCUGAGUGUUGGAGUGUGACCCUGGCUAUAGGUAAAUGAUGUCUGAGUGUUGGAGUGUGACCCUGGCUAUAGGUAAAUGAUGUCUGAGUGUUGGAGUGUGACCCUGGCUAUAGGUAAAUGAUGUCUGAGUGUUGUAGUGGGACCCUGGCUAUAGGUAAAUGAUGUCUGAGUGUUGGAGUGUGACCCUGGCUAUAGGUAAAUGAUGUCUGAGUGUUGGAGUGUGACCCUGGCUAUAGGUAAAUGAUGUCUGAGUGUUGGAGUGUGACCCUGGCUAUAGGUAAAUGAUGUCUGAGUGUUGGAGUGGGACCCUGGCUAUAGGUAAAUGAUGUCUGAGUGUUGGAGUGUGACCCUGGCUAUAGGUAAAUGAUGUCUGAGUGUUGGAGUGGGACCCUGGCUAUAGGUAAAUGAUGUCUGAGUGUUGGAGUGUGACCCUGGCUAUAGGUAAAUGAUGUCUGAGUGUUGGAGUGUGACCCUGGCUAUAGGUAAAUGAUGUCUGAGUGUUGGAGUGUGACCCUGGCUAUAGGUAAAUGAUGUCUGAGUGUUGGAGUGUGACCCUGGCUAUAGGUAAAUGAUGUCUGAGUGUUGGAGUGUGACCCUGGCUAUAGGUAAAUGAUGUCUGAGUGUUGGAGUGUGACCCUGGCUAUAGGUAAAUGAUGUCUGAGUGUUGGAGUGUGACCCUGGCUAUAGGUAAAUGAUG